This 301-nucleotide ribosomal RNA is filed under the name uncultured bacterium. RNAcentral's name for it is "partial 16S ribosomal RNA". It matches the Rfam family "Bacterial small subunit ribosomal RNA", at positions 509 to 809 of the family's 1533-position model. The record is from RNAcentral.
CAGCCGCCGCGGGAAUACGUAGGUGGCAAGCGUUAUCCGGAAUUAUUGGGCGUAAAGCGCGCGUAGGCGGUUUUUUAAGUCUGAUGUGAAAGCCCACGGCUCAACCGUGGAGGGUCAUUGGAAACUGGAAAACUUGAGUGCAGAAGAGGAAAGUGGAAUUCCAUGUGUAGCGGUGAAAUGCGCAGAGAUAUGGAGGAACACCAGCGGCGAAGGCGACUUUCUGGUCUGUAACUGACGCUGAUGUGCGAAAGCGUGGGGAUCAAACAGGAUUAGAUACCCCAGUAGUCCCUGUCUCUUAUAA